RNAcentral lists this ribosomal RNA (164 nucleotides) under uncultured bacterium. Its description in RNAcentral is "partial 16S rRNA". It matches the Rfam family "Bacterial small subunit ribosomal RNA", at positions 355 to 510 of the family's 1533-position model. The record is from RNAcentral.
UAGGGAAUCUUCGGCAAUGGACGAAAGUCUGACCGAGCAACGCCGCGUGAGUGAAGAAGGUUUUCGGAUCGUAAAACUCUGUUGGUAGAGAAGAACGUUGGUGAGAGUGGAAAGCUCAUCAAGUGACGGUAACUACCCAGAAAGGGACGGCUAACUACGUACCA